RNAcentral lists this ribosomal RNA (254 nucleotides) under uncultured bacterium. RNAcentral's name for it is "partial 16S ribosomal RNA". It matches the Rfam family "Bacterial small subunit ribosomal RNA", at positions 524 to 776 of the family's 1533-position model. The record is from RNAcentral.
UACGUAGGGUGCGAGCGUUGUCCGGAAUUAUUGGGCGUAAAGAGCUUGUAGGCGGUUUGUCGCGUCUGCUGUGAAAAUCCGGGGCUCAACCCCGGACUUGCAGUGGGUACGGGCAGACUAGAGUGUGGUAGGGGAGACUGGAAUUCCUGGUGUAGCGGUGAAAUGCGCAGAUAUCAGGAGGAACACCGAUGGCGAAGGCAGGUCUCUGGGCCGAUACUGACGCUGAGGAGCGAAAGCGUGGGGGAGCGAACAGG